AUUGAACGCUGGCGGCAGGCCUAACGCAUGCAAGUCGAGCGGAUGAAGGGAGCUUGCUCCUGGAUUCAGCGGCGGACGGGUGAGUAAUGCCUAGGAAUCUGCCUGGUAGUGGGGGAUAACGUCCGGAAACGGGCGCUAAUACCGCAUACGUCCUGAGGGAGAAAGUGGGGGAUCUUCGGACCUCACGCUAUCAGAUGAGCCUAGGUCGGAUUAGCUAGUUGGUGGGGUAAAGGCCUACCAAGGCGACGAUCCGUAACUGGUCUGAGAGGAUGAUCAGUCACACUGGAACUGAGACACGGUCCAGACUCCUACGGGAGGCAGCAGUGGGGAAUAUUGGACAAUGGGCGAAAGCCUGAUCCAGCCAUGCCGCGUGUGUGAAGAAGGUCUUCGGAUUGUAAAGCACUUUAAGUUGGGAGGAAGGGCAGUAAGUCAAUACCUUGCUGUUUUGACGUUACCAACAGAAUAAGCACCGGCUAACUUCGUG
Molecule: ribosomal RNA, 484 nt
Filed under: uncultured bacterium
Lineage: Bacteria
Description: partial 16S ribosomal RNA
Rfam family: Bacterial small subunit ribosomal RNA
Source: RNAcentral